Molecule: transfer RNA, 73 nt
Filed under: Plasmodium fragile
Lineage: Eukaryota; Apicomplexa; Aconoidasida; Haemosporida; Plasmodiidae
Description: tRNA-Val
Rfam family: tRNA
About the family: Transfer RNA (tRNA) molecules are approximately 80 nucleotides in length. Their secondary structure includes four short double-helical elements and three loops (D, anti-codon, and T loops).
Source: RNAcentral
GCGAGCAUGGUCUAGUGGUUAUGACGCCUGCUUUACACGCAGGAGAUCCCGAGUUCGAUCCUCGGUGCUCGUA